Molecule: long non-coding RNA, 1015 nt
Organism: Magnolia sinica
Lineage: Eukaryota; Viridiplantae; Streptophyta; Magnoliopsida; Magnoliales; Magnoliaceae
Exons: 4
Source: RefSeq, a predicted model, not a curated record
CUCUCCCUCUCUCUCCGUCUCUCUCUAUCUCUGCAAAGAUGAUAACAUCUCUUCCUAUUCCUUCAUCUUCUUCAUCACUUCUUCUAGAGGCUUCCCAAAUCUCUUGAUCGAGAGCUGCUUCUACGAUCUGCAAUGCCUAGAGAAGUAACGCCUAUAUUCCAAAUCUCGAGCCUUUCAGCAGGAGCAAGAGCAUCAAGGAGUCAAAAGAAACUUCCUCCAGAAAUCAGAGAAUGAGCUUGCUAUUAUGAUUUCCUUUUCCAGAUUUCUUUUGUAAUUUUUUAAACUUGAAUCGCCGAAGAUCUACCAUUCACAUAGGUUCGAUCUCUUGAAAUCAAAGGAAUCCGAGGCUCCUCUCCAAAAGUUCGAUCUCUUCCUCUCUCUAUCUCUCUAUGCCGCUCUUUUUCUCCGAGGGCCUCGUUUUCUCUGUUCUUCGCUGAGAUUUGGGUUUUCUCUGAAAUGAUUCAACUCCUGGUGCCCCCCGUAACAAGGUUGGGCAAAUUUCACACAGUGUGGUUCUGGGAACUUUCAAUAUUGGGGACCAAGGUGAAGGCAUUGUACCUGACCUUACGCUGAUUAUUGGAGCAGUUUUGAAUUCUGUUGGAGUUGGAAAUGUGGCUACUAGUGGCGGGGUGAGCAAUACACCUACAGCUGCCAAUGUGGCUGGCCCACCAUCCCAAGGUGUUGAUUUGCAUCUUGCUCUAGUGGCUUUCCUUUAAAGCUGUCAUCUUGUGUACAACUAAAAUUUUGGAGAGUCAUUAUCAUAAAGUUGCAUUUAUAGGCCUAGUCCAUUCAUUCUUCUUCAGAGCCAUAAGCAAUGCGUUGAUGUAAUUUGGGCACGACAAGGCAUUUUCUUUCCAUGGAAAUUACUUUUUGACUUUUAUGAUGCACAAUUUUACACUCUAAAUCUUUUGCCAACUAGUUUUUUGUUUCUAGUUUUGCUUAAUCGUAACUUUCUGCAGUUCCAUAGAAUAAUGCAGGGCGCAUUGAAAGAGGGGGGAACUGAUCCAGUGACACG